GCCCGCACAAGCGGUGGAGCAUGUGGUUUAAUUCGAUGCAACGCGAAGAACCUUACCUGGUCUUGACAUCCACGGAAGUUUUCAGAGAUGAGAAUGUGCCUUCGGGAACCGUGAGACAGGUGCUGCAUGGCUGUCGUCAGCUCGUGUUGUGAAAUGUUGGGUUAAGUCCCGCAACGAGCGCAACCCUUAUCCUUUGUUGCCAGCGGUCCGGCCGGGAACUCAAAGGAGACUGCCAGUGAUAAACUGGAGGAAGGUGGGGAUGACGUCAAGUCAUCAUGGCCCUUACGACCAGGGCUACACACGUGCUACAAUGGCGCAUACAAAGAGAAGCGACCUCGCGAGAGCAAGCGGACCUCAUAAAGUGCGUCGUAGUCCGGAUUGGAGUCUGCAACUCGACUCCAUGAAGUCGGAAUCGCUAGUAAUCGUGGAUCAGAAUGCCACGGUGAAUACGUUCCCGGGCCU
Molecule: ribosomal RNA, 462 nt
Filed under: Escherichia coli
Lineage: Bacteria; Pseudomonadati; Pseudomonadota; Gammaproteobacteria; Enterobacterales; Enterobacteriaceae
Description: 16S rRNA head domain from Escherichia coli (PDB 3J2C, chain M)
Rfam family: Bacterial small subunit ribosomal RNA
Source: RNAcentral